RNAcentral lists this ribosomal RNA (1354 nucleotides) under Simplicispira metamorpha. RNAcentral's name for it is "bacterial SSU rRNA". It matches the Rfam family "Bacterial small subunit ribosomal RNA", at positions 55 to 1384 of the family's 1533-position model. The record is from RNAcentral. Lineage: Bacteria; Pseudomonadati; Pseudomonadota; Betaproteobacteria; Burkholderiales; Comamonadaceae.
AUGCAAGUCGAACGGUAACAGGUCUUCGGAUGCUGACGAGUGGCGAACGGGUGAGUAACACAUCGGAACGUGCCCGAUCGUGGGGGAUAACGCAGCGAAAGCUGUGCUAAUACCGCAUACGAUCUACGGAUGAAAGCGGGGGAUCUUAGGACCUCGCGCGGACGGAGCGGCCGAUGGCAGAUUAGGUAGUUGGUGGGGUAAAGGCUUACCAAGCCUACGAUCUGUAGCUGGUCUGAGAGGACGACCAGCCACACUGGGACUGAGACACGGCCCAGACUCCUACGGGAGGCAGCAGUGGGGAAUUUUGGACAAUGGGCGAAAGCCUGAUCCAGCAAUGCCGCGUGCAGGAAGAAGGCCUUCGGGUUGUAAACUGCUUUUGUACGGAACGAAAAAGAUCUCUCUAAUACAGGGGUCUGAUGACGGUACCGUAAGAAUAAGCACCGGCUAACUACGUGCCAGCAGCCGCGGUAAUACGUAGGGUGCGAGCGUUAAUCGGAAUUACUGGGCGUAAAGCGUGCGCAGGCGGAUGAUGUAAGACAGAUGGUGAAAUCCCCGGAGCUCAACUCUGGGAACUGCAUUUGAUGACUGCAGUUGCUGGAGUGCGGCAGAGGGGGAGUGGAAUUCCGCGUGUAGCAGUGAAAUGCGUAGAUAUGCGGAGGAACACCGAGUGGCGAAGGCGAUCCCACUGGGCCUGCACUGACGCUCAUGCACGAAAGCGUGGGGAGCAAACAGGAUUAGAUACCCUGGUAGUCCACGCCCUAAACGAUGUCAACUGGUUGCCGUCGGGCAUUAGUACUUCUCGGUAGCGCAGCUAACGCGUUAAACAUUGACCGCCUGGGGAGUACGGUCGCAAGAUUGAAACUCAAAGGAAUUGACGGGGGCCCGCACAAGCGGUGGGAUGCAUGUGGUUUAAUUCGAAGCAACGCGCAGAACCUUACCCCAGCUCUUGACAUGUACGGGGUAGUGGGCAUGGAGACGAUUUCCUGUCAGUUAGGCUGGCCCCAGAACAGGUGCUGCAUGGCGUCGUCAGCUCGUGUCGUGAGAUGUUGGGUUAAGUCCCGCAACGAGCGCAACCCUCGCCCUUAGUUGCCAGCAUUUAGUUGGGCACUCUAAGGGGACUGCCGGUGAUAAGCCGAGAGGAAGGUGGGGAUGACGUCAAGUCCUCAUGGCCCUUACGGGCUGGGCUACACACGUGCUACAAUGGUGGUGACAGUGGGCAGCGAGACAGCGAUGUCGAGCUAAUCUCCAAAAGCCAUCUCAGUUCGGAUUGCACUCUGCAACUCGAGUGCAUGAAGUGGAAUCGCUAGUAAUCGCAGAUCAGCAUGGUGCGGUGAAUACGUUCCCGGGCCUUUGU